GACGAACGCUGGCGGCGUGCUUAACACAUGCAAGUCGAACGGAAAGGCCCUGCUUUUGUGGGGUGCUCGAGUGGCGAACGGGUGAGUAACACGUGAGUAACCUGCCCUUGACUUUGGGAUAACUUCAGGAAACUGGGGCUAAUACCGGAUAGGAGCUCCUGCUGCAUGGUGGGGGUUGGAAAGUUUCGGCGGUUGGGGAUGGACUCGCGGCUUAUCAGCUUGUUGGUGGGGUAGUGGCUUACCAAGGCUUUGACGGGUAGCCGGCCUGAGAGGGUGACCGGGGACAUUGGGACUGAGGUACGGCCCAGAGGCCUACGGGAGGCAGAAGUGGGGAAUAUUGCACAAUGGGCGGAAGCCUGAUGCAGCAACGCCGCGUGCGGGAUGACGGCCUUCGGGUUGUAAACCGCUUUCGCCUGUGACGAAGCGUGAGUGACGGUAAUGGGUAAAGAAGCACCGGCUAACUACGUG
RNAcentral lists this ribosomal RNA (468 nucleotides) under uncultured bacterium. RNAcentral describes it as "partial 16S ribosomal RNA". It matches the Rfam family "Bacterial small subunit ribosomal RNA", at positions 28 to 507 of the family's 1533-position model. The record is from RNAcentral.